AACGCUGGCGGCGUGCCUAACACAUGCAAGUCGAACGCGAAAGGGGCUUCGGCCCUGAGUAGAGUGGCGAACGGGUGAGUAACGCGUGGGUGAUCUACCUUCGAGUGGGGGAUAACGUCCCGAAAGGGGCGCUAAUACCGCAUGACGUUCUGGGUUUAAAGACCUGGAAACCAAAGCCGGGGACCGCAAGGCCUGGCGCUUAAAGAGGAGCCCGCGUCCGAUUAGCUAGUUGGCGGGGUAACGGCCCACCAAGGCGACGAUCGGUAGCCGGCCUGAGAGGGCGGACGGCCACACUGGAACUGAGACACGGUCCAGACUCCUACGGGAGGCAGCAGUGGGGAAUUGUUCACAAUGGGCGCAAGCCUGAUGACGCAACGCCGCGUGGGGGAUGAAGGUCUUCGGAUUGUAAACCCCUGUCGAAUGGGACGAAUGGCCUCUGGGCUAAUCACCAGAGGAAUGACGGUACCGUUAAAGGAAG
This 478-nucleotide ribosomal RNA is filed under the name Acidobacteria bacterium REF-38. RNAcentral describes it as "bacterial SSU rRNA". It matches the Rfam family "Bacterial small subunit ribosomal RNA", at positions 32 to 490 of the family's 1533-position model. The record is from RNAcentral. Lineage: Bacteria; Pseudomonadati; Acidobacteriota.